UGGUGAUGCUGAAUGAUGAGAACAGAGAAGGGAGAAAGGCAACCACAUUAUCUUCCGUGUUUGCAAGACUAAUCUGCUCCUGGGGCCUUCUAAGAGCUGCUCUGUGGAAGGAGCGCAGCCCAGGAGUCUGGAACAUGACUCUAAUCCUGCCUGUUGGAACUUGGGAGAAAUUAUUUUAUGUCAACUUUGGCUUAUUUAUCUUAAGAUUAGGCCAUUUCAGCCUUAAAAGGCCUAUGAUUUACAAUAGUACUUUGGUGGGAGAAAUAUGUAAUGGCUGACAUAAAUUAAUAUGCUAAAUUAUACUACGGAUGGCAAAAAAGACUGAGAUUUGUACACGGAUUUACACUUUACGAAGCACUUUCGCGUGCCUUAUUUCAACCUUACCACGACAACUGAGGAGAAAAAUUCUCAAUUGAUCUAACAUACUGGGCACACCCUUCCUACCACAGAGCAGAUAACCAGAUUACCUGAAAAUGCAACUGGAGCAGAGGAAGGCUUAAAAUGUGUCAUCAUUCUGAUUGACCUACGACCCUCCUCCAUGGUCUGAUGAGGAACGCUUCUAGGCCCAAACAGGUGAACAGUGAAGCUACUAGUGCUGGCAGGAAUGCAUGAGCCCCAUGCAUCUGAAGCCUAAAGAGCAGAGACUGAAUGUCAGAGAACACCACACACAUCACCCUCUAGACUCGAGAACGACAGCAGAAGACGAGAGGAAGAGCAGAGACUCGGGGAAGCACUGGUAACCACCAUCUGAUACCCUCACCUUCAUGCU
Zalophus californianus (California sea lion) is the source of this 769-nucleotide long non-coding RNA. RefSeq lists it as uncharacterized. The transcript has 3 exons. NCBI's taxonomy places the organism in Eukaryota, Metazoa, Chordata, Mammalia, Carnivora, Otariidae. The record is from RefSeq and is a predicted model, not a curated record.